AGACAGCAGUAGCCGCGGUAAUACGUAGGGUGCGAGCGUUAAUCGGAAUUACUGGGCGUAUAGCGUGCGCAGGCGGUUGUGUAAGACAGGUGUGAAAUCCCCGGGCUUAACCUGGGAACUGCGCUUGUGACUGCACAGCUAGAGUAUGGCAGAGGGGGGUGGAAUUCCACGUGUAGCAGUGAAAUGCGUAGAGAUGUGGAGGAACACCGAUGGCGAAGGCAGCCCCCUGGGCCAAUACUGACGCUCAUGCACGAAAGCGUGGGGAGCAAACAGGAUUAGAUACCCCUGUAGUCCCUGUCUCUUAUAC
RNAcentral lists this ribosomal RNA (307 nucleotides) under uncultured bacterium. RNAcentral describes it as "partial 16S ribosomal RNA". It matches the Rfam family "Bacterial small subunit ribosomal RNA", at positions 506 to 807 of the family's 1533-position model. The record is from RNAcentral.